RNAcentral lists this ribosomal RNA (466 nucleotides) under uncultured bacterium. RNAcentral's name for it is "partial 16S ribosomal RNA". It matches the Rfam family "Bacterial small subunit ribosomal RNA", at positions 28 to 507 of the family's 1533-position model. The record is from RNAcentral.
GACGAACGCUGGCGGCGCGCCUAACACAUGCAAGUCGAACGAGCGAGAGAGAGCUUGCUUUCUUGAGCGAGUGGCGAACGGGUGAGUAACGCGUGAGGAACCUGCCUCAAAGAGGGGGACAACAGUUGGAAACGACUGCUAAUACCGCAUAAGCCCACGACCCGGCAUCGGGUUGAGGGAAAAGGAGCAAUCCGCUUUGAGAUGGCCUCGCGUCCGAUUAGCUAGUUGGUGAGGUAACGGCCCACCAAGGCGACGAUCGGUAGCCGGACUGAGAGGUUGAACGGCAACAUUGGGACUGAGACACGGCCCAGACUCCUACGGGAGGCAGCAGUGGGGAAUAUUGCACAAUGGGGGAAACCCUGAUGCAGCGACGCCGCGUGGAGGAAGAAGGUCUUCGGAUUGUAAACUCCUGUUGUUGAGGAAGAUAAUGACGGUACUCAACAAGGAAGUGACGGCUAACUACGUG